UUUAACUCAAAAUUAAUAGAGGCACAAAUAUGCUAAUGCACAUGUAUAUAUACUCAACAUAAAAAUAAGAUAGACUUGAAAAUGACACAUGUUAGGAUUGAUUUGGUCUCUGUAUCAACUGGGAGUUUUGAGAGAGUUUAUUGUAUUCUUUGUACUUAAAUCAACAUGAAAAAAUACAAAAUAUUUAUGUGCACGCUUACUUGAG
Molecule: unclassified non-coding RNA, 205 nt
Filed under: Hevea brasiliensis (rubber tree)
Lineage: Eukaryota; Viridiplantae; Streptophyta; Magnoliopsida; Malpighiales; Euphorbiaceae
Source: RNAcentral